RNAcentral lists this long non-coding RNA (699 nucleotides) under Androctonus crassicauda. The record is from RNAcentral. Lineage: Eukaryota; Metazoa; Arthropoda; Arachnida; Scorpiones; Buthidae.
CCAGGAAUAAAUAGAACCAAAAGUCUUAAAUAAAGGAAUAAAAAUUAUAUAUUAAUAUUGAAUAAUAUCCGAGAUGAAUUAGAUGUCUCAGAAGAUGUGGUAAUAAUUUGUGAAGUUGAAAAUCGACAAUGUCUGCUAUAGUAGACAUUGGAUCAAGUGUUACUUUGAUUUCCAGAACUUGGUUGAGACUUGAAACUAUGCCUAUAAAAUUCCAUGAUACACCUGCAUGUUUGCAGAGAUAGCAGGACAUCUGAUUAAGUGUAGCGGCAUUCAUAAUUUAGUAUUAAGAAUAGGUUUGCAUAAAUUAAAUCAUCCAUGUUAUGUAAUAGAUCUGGCAAUCACAAAUUCAUACAAAGGAAUUCUCUGUCGUGACAUAACAUCUGGCAAUCACAAAUUCAUACAAAGGAAUUCUCGUCUGCUGAAAAGAGAAUAAAGUUUCCUGAGGAUAACAAAGUAACCUUUCAAAAUCAAUUAACUGGUUUUCAGUCUAUAUCUAGCAUGUCAUCACUUCAAAAAGUAUCAGAUCAAUUAAAUCAUAAGACAAAACCAUCUAAUUAUAGAAAAUAUGAAACUCUUUUAAGUUCAUUUUUACUUGCUUUUAUGAAUAUGUAAUCACAUUAAGCAGUAUCAUAAAUACAUCAAAGAUUUAGAAAUGUUUUCGAUAUCAUAGAUGAUAUCCUCAGCUUUCAUUUAUAAAAC